CGUGUAGGCGGUCCGGUAAGUGAGAUGUGAAAUCCCUCGGCUCACCCGAGGACCUGCAUCUCAAACUGCCUGACUCGAGUACGGGAGAGGAUGUGGGAAUUCCUGGUGUAGCGGUGAAAUGCGUAGAUAUCAGGAGGAACACCGGUGGCGAAAGCGCACAUCUGGCCCGAUACUGACGCUGAGGCGCGAAAGGCUAGGGAGCAAACG
This 207-nucleotide ribosomal RNA is filed under the name uncultured bacterium. RNAcentral's name for it is "partial 16S ribosomal RNA". It matches the Rfam family "Bacterial small subunit ribosomal RNA", at positions 568 to 774 of the family's 1533-position model. The record is from RNAcentral.